This 489-nucleotide long non-coding RNA is filed under the name Citrus sinensis (sweet orange). RNAcentral describes it as "long non-coding RNA (CSIN_LNC005586)". Lineage: Eukaryota; Viridiplantae; Streptophyta; Magnoliopsida; Sapindales; Rutaceae. The record is from RNAcentral.
UUUAUUUCUACAAAAUAAAAAAUGCAUGUCAUAUGUAAUUUUUAAGGAUUCGAAGUUACCGCUGCAGAGGAAACAAAAGAAUUUAAAAAAGAGAAUUGCUUUAUGAAAUAAUUUGUUUGCAUCCUUUAUUCAAACAGUUUUAGGCUUUUUAUAAGAGCCAAUUGGAAACACGCAAUCUACACUAGUAACUGCACUUGGAACAACAAAAGACACCCUAGACAAUAACACAUGAAAUACGAGAAAUAAUAGGAAACAUGGGUAAUAAUUUUGCACACAUAGUUAAUAGACCACUUGUCAAGCGCCCAUUUAUUUCAAAGCUCUUAUUACUAAGUCCUAGACUCCUCUUCUCAAGCACAUGGCUAUCAGGUACGUGGGAAGCUUGUUAAAUGCAUGGGUUCUUGCUCGUCUUUGGGAGACAUAUCAGCAUGCUUGGAAAGAGAUACACGCAAGACAAUCAACACAAGAUUUGCUUUAUUUCUAGGANNNNNN